CGUUAGCGUUCAAACUCAUACACGAAGCAUAAAUGAUGAUUCGUGCUCGUUUUGCACUUGUUUCCACAGCGAAAUUCCGCAGAAUGCGUCGUCAUUUCACUAAACAGUGUUUAACAGGUUUUCUUCUGGUGAAUUGCAAGUUUUGUAAACUUCAACUCCUGAAAACAUAGAAACUCACCCGAAAUAGUUACGUAACACGAAUGCCACAUAUCGAUCAUUUGCGGCAAGGAUUUCCACCCGUCCUUGACCUAAACAACUCGCGGCCCAGUUAUGCGUGGGUGUUUGUUCGACCGCCGCCCCCACACUUUCCCGCCAGGCACGAAUAUCUUGCGCAUAAUAGAAAUAAAUAUUGAUAUUUUGACAAAAGCGUUAUUUCAACAUAGGCAACCAAAUAUACACCAAUGUCAAUUUUAUACUUCUGAACUCAUUUCAACAUUUAAAAAUGUGAUUAAUAAAGUUUAUGCCUGGUUUUAUGUGGUUAAUUGCUUUAAUGUAUCCCAAAGUGUUCACAUCGAGCUAAAUCAAGCUAAACACGUCUAGUUUAUUCCGCAAAAACUGCUUCCUUUCG
This is a long non-coding RNA of Dalotia coriaria, 568 nucleotides long. RefSeq lists it as uncharacterized. NCBI's taxonomy places the organism in Eukaryota, Metazoa, Arthropoda, Insecta, Coleoptera, Staphylinidae. The record is from RefSeq and is a predicted model, not a curated record. The transcript has 2 exons.